ACCUGGGUGGCUCAGUCGGUUGAGCGUCUGACUUCAGGUCAGGUCACGAUCACGGUUUGUGAGUUCGAGUCCCACAUCGGGCU
RNAcentral lists this transfer RNA (83 nucleotides) under Felis catus (domestic cat). It matches the Rfam family "tRNA". From Rfam's summary of the family: Transfer RNA (tRNA) molecules are approximately 80 nucleotides in length. Their secondary structure includes four short double-helical elements and three loops (D, anti-codon, and T loops). Lineage: Eukaryota; Metazoa; Chordata; Mammalia; Carnivora; Felidae. The record is from Rfam by way of RNAcentral.